Long non-coding RNA from Drosophila albomicans, 492 nucleotides. RefSeq lists it as uncharacterized. NCBI's taxonomy places the organism in Eukaryota, Metazoa, Arthropoda, Insecta, Diptera, Drosophilidae. The transcript has 3 exons. The record is from RefSeq and is a predicted model, not a curated record.
ACAUAGAAUACUCAAAUAUAUAUAUAUAAAUAAAAUAUUAUUCAAAAUUUUAGGAGUACAGAUGUUUAUUUUGUUGUGAUUCAGAUGUAUAACUAAUAUGAUACAUAUGUGACUGAACGAAUUUCAAAACGGGAAGUUUAAGAAAGCUUUAAGAUGAACGUUGGUCCAGAAUCGGUUAGGAUGGAGUGUCCCCAAUGCAAGGUGUCAAUUUCGACUAAAACUACUCCAAAGGCAUCAAAUAGAACGCAUCUGCUUGCUCUUCUUAUGUGUGUAUUUUGGUGUUGUUGCUGUGCUCCAUUUCUGUAUUGCACCGAAUGCGCCCGAGACGUCAAUCACACUUGCCCCUCCUGCAACCACUAUAUUGGCACAUACCAACGCUGAUGCUGCUAUGAGAUAAUGUUUUCGAGUAAAGUGAGUUCGUGGAGUGAGUGGAGAAUUCGAGCUGCUCUAAUUAAUUAGUUUUUCAUAAUUUAUGUUUGUCACUUAAAUAAA